UCUCCCUAAUUCCAUUGCGUUGUGAUGAU
This 29-nucleotide non-coding RNA is filed under the name Homo sapiens (human). Lineage: Eukaryota; Metazoa; Chordata; Mammalia; Primates; Hominidae. The record is from RNAcentral.